Molecule: unclassified non-coding RNA, 375 nt
Filed under: soil metagenome
Description: partial contains 5.8S ribosomal RNA, internal transcribed spacer 2, and large subunit ribosomal RNA
Rfam family: 5.8S ribosomal RNA (bases 1-120)
Source: RNAcentral
GAUGAAGAACGUAGCGAAAUGCGAUAAGUAAUGUGAAUUGCAGAAUUCAGUGAAUCAUCGAAUCUUUGAACGCACAUUGCGCCCGCCAGUAUUCUGGCGGGCAUGCCUGUUCGAGCGUCAUUUCAACCCUCAAGACCCCUUCGGGGGACUUGGUGUUGGGGACCGGCACAGGGGCCUGCCUGCUUGUCUUGCAGCGCUCUCGCCGCCCCCGAAAUGAAUUGGCGGCCUCGUCGCGGCCUCCCCUGCGUAGUAGCACAACCUCGCAACGGGAACGUGACGGCGGCCACUGCCGUAAAACAACCCCAAUUUUAUUAGAGUUGACCUCGAAUCAGGUAGGAAUACCCGCUGAACUUAAGCAUAUCAAUAAGCGGAGGA